This 1041-nucleotide long non-coding RNA is filed under the name Chinchilla lanigera (long-tailed chinchilla). RNAcentral's name for it is "lncRNA (ENSCLAG00000028795.1)". The record is from RNAcentral. Lineage: Eukaryota; Metazoa; Chordata; Mammalia; Rodentia; Chinchillidae.
CCAACUUUAAAGGAAAUAGGUUCCUUAUUGUUCUACAAAGAAAUACUUAGUUUUUAAUCCUGCUCACCUGGGACUCCACCACAGUCAUAAAGACAUUUUUGCUUUCUUUCAAUUUUCAGAGCUUCAUUAUGACACAAGUUGGGUUAAGGGAACUUUGCCACUGUAAGUGUUCUAACAAGAGUCCUGGGCAUUUCUCCAUGGUCUAAUGACAAGCUUGCUGACCAUGGCUGGGUUCACGCUGUUUGUUGUCUUGCACUUUGUUCUGUUCCUAGGACAAGGAACUGUGUAAGAAGGCAUCUUUUGAAAGAGGGAGAAACAGCACUGUGAAUAUCAACAAAGAAAAAUAACCUAAAAAAACAAAAAUAUUGUAUUUCGUCUGAACUUUUGGAUCUGUUUAUGAAAAAUGUUUAACAAGAAACAAAAAUGCCCAUAUUCUAUAAAGGAAGAUUUCAAUCAGCAGUUUUCAAAGUAAGAUAAACUCCACAUUUUCCAAAGUCAAGACAAUUUUGAUUACAGUUCUAUCUUAGUUGGAUUUACUGAAGAGGUGGAUAAUUUUAGGAAGUAAUAUAGUGCAAGAGAGAACUAAGACAUCUCCUCUGAUAAUUUAAAUCAGAAGGAACUGGGAAGUAACUCUUCAGUGGCUGUGCCUCGCUGCAUUUUCUCCAGAGACCAUUUCGGGAGAAGACCUCUGUGGAGAAAUCUGGAAACACUGGCAUAUAUUCAAUGAGAUAUCUUUGGAACAAGAGCCAAAUCCAAAUGCAAAACUCGCUUAUAUUUCAUAUAAACCUUACACAUAUAGUCUAAAGACACUUAAAGACCCAAAUGGUGCAUUCAGUAUUUCAACCAAAACAGCUGGACUUGAUAGUUCUGAUCAGAUAUUGACUAAGCUCCACAUUACAGUUGAGUAAGCCUUCACUGGAUCAUCCCUGAGGUGGUGAAAAGGAAAGACCACUCUAAACUCUUCUCUGAGGCUCCCAGGCACUUUAUCUACCCAUCAAGGAGGAAACAGAAACCAGGAAAGAAUGAAACAAUAUUCCUAAG